This 22-nucleotide unclassified non-coding RNA is filed under the name Mus musculus (house mouse). RNAcentral describes it as "oocyte_clustered_small_RNA8190". The record is from RNAcentral. Lineage: Eukaryota; Metazoa; Chordata; Mammalia; Rodentia; Muridae.
CAGGUGAUGAUCCUGAAAUGGU